GGUUGAUCCUGCCAGUAGUCAUAUGCUUGUCCUAAAGAUUAAGCCAUGCAUGUCCAAGUAUAAGCGAUUGUACGGUGAAACUGCGAAAGGCUCAUUAAAUCAGUGAUAGUUUACAUGAUGAAGACGAUUACAUGGAUAACCGUGGUAAUUCCAGAGCUAAUACAUGCGCUGGGGGGCGGUGCGAGCUGCCUCUGCAUUUAUUAGAUAAAACCAAAUCAAGGCAACUUGAGUUAUGGCGAGUCAUGAUAACUGAGCGGAUCGUAUGGCCAAGUGCUGACGACGCAUCAUUCAAA
RNAcentral lists this ribosomal RNA (293 nucleotides) under uncultured eukaryote. RNAcentral describes it as "partial 18S ribosomal RNA". It matches the Rfam family "Eukaryotic small subunit ribosomal RNA", at positions 6 to 303 of the family's 1831-position model. The record is from RNAcentral.